UGUAGCAAUACAUGCCGGCGAGUGGCGCACGGGUGCGUAACGCGUAUGCAAUCUACCUAUAACUGGGGAAUAGCCUUCCGAAAGGAAGAUUAAUACCGCAUAACAUCACGAAACGGCAUCGUUUUGCGAUCAAAACUCAGGUGGUUAUAGAUGAGCAUGCGUGACACUAGCUAGUUGGUGAGGUAACGGCUCACCAAGGCGACGAUGUCUAGGGGGUCUGAGAGGAUGAUCCCCCACACUGGUACUGAGACACGGACCAGACUCCUACGGGAGGCAGCAGUAAGGAAUAUUGGACAAUGGCCGCAAGGCUGAUCCAGCCAUGCCGCGUGAAGGAUGAAGGUGCUAUGCAUUGUAAACUUCUUUUGUCCCGGAAUAAACCCCUGAUUUCUAUCGGGGCUGAAUGCACGGGAAGAAUGAGGGACGGCUAACUUCGUGCCAGCAGCCGCGGUAAUACGAAGGUCCCAAGCGUUAUCCGGAUUUAUUGGGUUUAAAGGGUGCGUAGGCGGGUUGUUAAGUCAGUGGUGAGAGCCUACAGCUCAACUGUAGAAUUGCCAUUGUUACUGACGAUCUUGAGUAUGGUUGAGGAGGGCGGAAUGUGUCAUGUAGCGGUGAAAUGCUUAGAUAUGACACAGAACACCGAUUGCGAAGGCAGCUCUCUAAGCCAAUACUGACGCUGAUGCACGAAAGCGUGGGGAGCAAACAGGAUUAGAUACCCUGGUAGUCCACGCCCUAAACGAUGAUCACUCGAUGUGUGCGAUAUACUGUACGCGUCUGAGCGAAAGCAUUAAGUGAUCCACCUGGGGAGUACGACCGCAAGGUUGAAACUCAAAGGAAUUGACGGGGGCCCGCACAAGCGGAGGAGCAUGUGG
Molecule: ribosomal RNA, 869 nt
Filed under: uncultured bacterium
Lineage: Bacteria
Description: bacterial SSU rRNA
Rfam family: Bacterial small subunit ribosomal RNA
Source: RNAcentral